UUAAGCGACUAAGCGUACACGGUGGAUGCCCUGGCAGUCAGAGGCGAUGAAGGACGUGCUAAUCUGCGAUAAGCGUCGGUGAGGUGAUAUGAACCGUUAUAACCGGCGAUUUCCGAAUGGGGAAACCCAGUGUGUUUCGACACACUAUCAUUAACUGAAUCCAUAGGUUAAUGAGGCGAACCGGGGGAACUGAAACAUCUAAGUACCCCGAGGAAAAGAAAUCAACCGAGAUUCCCCCAGUAGCGGCGAGCGAACGGGGAGGAGCCCAGAGCCUGAAUCAGUGUGUGUGUUAGUGGAAGCGUCUGGAAAGGCGUGCGAUACAGGGUGACAGCCCCGUACACAAAAAUGCACAUAUUGUGAGCUCGAUGAGUAGGGCGGGACACGUGGUAUCCUGUCUGAAUAUGGGGGGACCAUCCUCCAAGGCUAAAUACUCCUGACUGACCGAUAGUGAACCAGUACCGUGAGGGAAAGGCGAAAAGAACCCCGGCGAGGGGAGUGAAAAAGAACCUGAAACCGUGUACGUACAAGCAGUGGGAGCCUCUUAAUGGGGUGACUGCGUACCUUUUGUAUAAUGGGUCAGCGACUUAUAUUCUGUAGCAAGGUUAACCGAAUAGGGGAGCCGAAGGGAAACCGAGUCUUAACUGGGCGUUAAGUUGCAGGGUAUAGACCCGAAACCCGGUGAUCUAGCCAUGGGCAGGUUGAAGGUUGGGUAACACUAACUGGAGGACCGAACCGACUAAUGUUGAAAAAUUAGCGGAUGACUUGUGGCUGGGGGUGAAAGGCCAAUCAAACCGGGAGAUAGCUGGUUCUCCCCGAAAGCUAUUUAGGUAGCGCCUCGUGAAUUCAUCUCCGGGGGUAGAGCACUGUUUCGGCAAGGGGGUCAUCCCGACUUACCAACCCGAUGCAAACUGCGAAUACCGGAGAAUGUUAUCACGGGAGACACACGGCGGGUGCUAACGUCCGUCGUGAAGAGGGAAACAACCCAGACCGCCAGCUAAGGUCCCAAAGUCAUGGUUAAGUGGGAAACGAUGUGGGAAGGCCCAGACAGCCAGGAUGUUGGCUUAGAAGCAGCCAUCAUUUAAAGAAAGCGUAAUAGCUCACUGGUCGAGUCGGCCUGCGCGGAAGAUGUAACGGGGCUAAACCAUGCACCGAAGCUGCGGCAGCGACACUAUGUGUUGUUGGGUAGGGGAGCGUUCUGUAAGCCUGUGAAGGUGGCCUGUGAGGGUUGCUGGAGGUAUCAGAAGUGCGAAUGCUGACAUAAGUAACGAUAAAGCGGGUGAAAAGCCCGCUCGCCGGAAGACCAAGGGUUCCUGUCCAACGUUAAUCGGGGCAGGGUGAGUCGACCCCUAAGGCGAGGCCGAAAGGCGUAGUCGAUGGGAAACAGGUUAAUAUUCCUGUACUUGGUGUUACUGCGAAGGGGGGACGGAGAAGGCUAUGUUGGCCGGGCGACGGUUGUCCCGGUUUAAGCGUGUAGGCUGGUUUUCCAGGCAAAUCCGGAAAACCAAGGCUGAGGCGUGAUGACGAGGCACUACGGUGCUGAAGUGACAAAUGCCCUGCUUCCAGGAAAAGCCUCUAAGCAUCAGGUAACAUCAAAUCGUACCCCAAACCGACACAGGUGGUCAGGUAGAGAAUACCAAGGCGCUUGAGAGAACUCGGGUGAAGGAACUAGGCAAAAUGGUGCCGUAACUUCGGGAGAAGGCACGCUGAUAUGUAGGUGAAGCGACUCGCUCGUGGAGCUGAAAUCAGUCGAAGAUACCAGCUGGCUGCAACUGUUUAUUAAAAACACAGCACUGUGCAAACACGAAAGUGGACGUAUACGGUGUGACGCCUGCCCGGUGCCGGAAGGUUAAUUGAUGGGGUUAGCGGUAACGCGAAGCUCUUGAUCGAAGCCCCGGUAAACGGCGGCCGUAACUAUAACGGUCCUAAGGUAGCGAAAUUCCUUGUCGGGUAAGUUCCGACCUGCACGAAUGGCGUAAUGAUGGCCAGGCUGUCUCCACCCGAGACUCAGUGAAAUUGAACUCGCUGUGAAGAUGCAGUGUACCCGCGGCAAGACGGAAAGACCCCGUGAACCUUUACUAUAGCUUGACACUGAACAUUGAGCCUUGAUGUGUAGGAUAGGUGGGAGGCUUUGAAGUGUGGACGCCAGUCUGCAUGGAGCCGACCUUGAAAUACCACCCUUUAAUGUUUGAUGUUCUAACGUUGGCCCGUAAUCCGGGUUGCGGACAGUGUCUGGUGGGUAGUUUGACUGGGGCGGUCUCCUCCUAAAGAGUAACGGAGGAGCACGAAGGUUGGCUAAUCCUGGUCGGACAUCAGGAGGUUAGUGCAAUGGCAUAAGCCAGCUUGACUGCGAGCGUGACGGCGCGAGCAGGUGCGAAAGCAGGUCAUAGUGAUCCGGUGGUUCUGAAUGGAAGGGCCAUCGCUCAACGGAUAAAAGGUACUCCGGGGAUAACAGGCUGAUACCGCCCAAGAGUUCAUAUCGACGGCGGUGUUUGGCACCUCGAUGUCGGCUCAUCACAUCCUGGGGCUGAAGUAGGUCCCAAGGGUAUGGCUGUUCGCCAUUUAAAGUGGUACGCGAGCUGGGUUUAGAACGUCGUGAGACAGUUCGGUCCCUAUCUGCCGUGGGCGCUGGAGAACUGAGGGGGGCUGCUCCUAGUACGAGAGGACCGGAGUGGACGCAUCACUGGUGUUCGGGUUGUCAUGCCAAUGGCACUGCCCGGUAGCUAAAUGCGGAAGAGAUAAGUGCUGAAAGCAUCUAAGCACGAAACUUGCCCCGAGAUGAGUUCUCCCUGACUCCUUGAGGGUCCUGAAGGAACGUUGAAGACGACGACGUUGAUAGGCCGGGUGUGUAAGCGCAGCGAUGCGUUGAGCUAACCGGUACUAAUGAACCGUGAGGCUUAACCUU
RNAcentral lists this ribosomal RNA (2902 nucleotides) under Escherichia coli HVH 92 (4-5930790). Its description in RNAcentral is "bacterial LSU rRNA". It matches the Rfam family "Bacterial large subunit ribosomal RNA". RNAcentral also lists the same sequence under 1 other name. Lineage: Bacteria; Pseudomonadati; Pseudomonadota; Gammaproteobacteria; Enterobacterales; Enterobacteriaceae. The record is from RNAcentral.